GGAAGUGAGAGUUCAGAGUUUCUGAAGCUUCAGGGCUGUUAUGGGCUGAAUUGCGUUCUCCCAAAAUUCAUCUGUUGAAGUUCUAACUCCCCGUAUGUCAGAACGUGACUGCAUUUGGAGAUUGUCUCUUUAAGGAGGCACAUACAGAGAGAAAAUCUUGUGGAAGCUCAGAGAGACGACGGCCACCUACAAGCUGAGGAGAGAGGCCUCUGGAGAAACCAACCUUGUCCACACCUUGAUCUCAGACUUCCAGCUUCCAGACUGUCAGACAAUCACUCUGCUGUCUGGAAGCAGGAAAACAAGAUGGCACAUUCCUAGCAAGGGCCCAGUGUCCCUUCAGUUGACCCUGGUGGAGACCAACCACACCACCUUUGAGGACCCCUCUCCUGGAACAGUGGCUAAAUCGGAACCAUCCCAAAUCAAGGCAGGGCGGCUGUGGAAUGCUCAUUUGAGUGUGACAUUGUACUUCCUCCAGUCGAGGUGGACUUUCCCCUGCUCCCCUUGAAUCAAGGAUGGCCUUGUGACUUGCUUAGACUAAGAACAUGCAACAGAAGUGAUGGUGUGCCAGCUGGAGACCAGGCCUUAAGAACUUGUAUGGGCUUCUCCAGCUCUCUCAGAACCCUUCCACUGCCCUGAGAAUUAGCCCAGGCUAGCCUGCCAGAAGAUGGGAGACCAGACAUGAGAGCCGAAGUGCUCCAGCAGAGCCAAUUCACCAGCUGACUGCACAAGCACAAGCCAACCUAGCUGAGAUCAGCCGAGCCUGGUCUAGAAAACACAGCUGACCAGCCGACUUGUAGACCUGUGACACAAAUUAAACGUAAUUUUUU
This 827-nucleotide long non-coding RNA is filed under the name Equus caballus (horse). Its description in RNAcentral is "lncRNA (ENSECAG00000040677.2)". The record is from RNAcentral. Lineage: Eukaryota; Metazoa; Chordata; Mammalia; Perissodactyla; Equidae.